This 1179-nucleotide long non-coding RNA is filed under the name Theobroma cacao (cacao). Its description in RNAcentral is "long non-coding RNA (TCAC_LNC005728)". Lineage: Eukaryota; Viridiplantae; Streptophyta; Magnoliopsida; Malvales; Malvaceae. The record is from RNAcentral.
GUUCAUGUAAUGAUGGUUUUAUUUAUGAUUAGGAGAUAUCUAAGAUGUUGCAUAGCAUUUAUUACUACUAGUAAUAUUUAAUAAACAUUUUCUAUUUGGAUCAACUUUAUAAUUAAUGGGGCUCCACGAUUGAUUAGAUUGAAAGUUCUUUUUUUUUUUUGGAUAAGCUUAGAUUGGAAUUUCUUCUAUUAUCAAACAAGGAAUGCAUCGAAAUUAAACACCACAGUGUGGUGGCAAUGUAAUUAUGUAUUUUGCUUUUGGAAGUUCAAUGGUACCUGUCUGUUAACUUAUCAAGGAUAAACUCGAUGCUGAGAGGAUAUUAAAUUUAUGUUGUUAUUUUUGUCUCAUUUUAGGCGUAAAUGUUAGUUUAGUGUCUUUUGGAAGGGCUUGGCACUUUACGAUUGUGACAAAAUGUUGGUCUUUAGGACAAAUAUGAUGUUAAACAUAUUUCUUUUGUAUUUGAAAGGACUUGUGCUAGAGAUUAAACCAGCUAUUCGGAAAUGAAUUGAAGUCUUAUACCUUUUAUUGUGGCAUGGACUGCAAUUUGUUUCUGUGAUGAAAACCAAGUCUAAUCUGAAAGUAGUUGGGUCGGCUGUAAUUUGUUUCUGUGAUGAAAACCAAGUCUAAUCCGAAAGUAGUUGGGUCGGCUGUAUGAGUUCUUUCCCCUCAUUCAUCCGUGGUUGAGGGGUGCAUCCUCCAAAAGAUGCAGGGAUGCCAAGUUUAUCCUAAUUACCACAAAACGUAUCUCCGAUCUGUGUGUCUCACUUCAUUUGUAUCUAUGAAAAUGACCUUAAAAUAUGAAUGUUAGAGUUUGUUUAUUUGUUUCUGUGAUGUUUGACACUGGAUACCAACAACUGACUCUGAAAGCCAUGCUACUGUCAAGAAGAUGGUAACCAUCUUACAGACUGAGGUUAAUCUUUUCAAAGUAAAGCAUGUGCUUGACUUAAGAGCAGCUUAGUGGAUGAUAAUUAUGGUAAAGAAUGCAGAUAGUGCUUUACUGCUAAAGUGCUGCGUAAUACUACCUUUAAUUUCCAGAUGAGAAUGGGGCAAUUAUAUACUUAAUAUGCAUAUUGGUAUAGUUCAUCAUUUUGAAGGGUUUUUCCUUCUUUUCUCUUUCACAUUGGUAUUAACAAUUUUCAUGGUGUCUGAAAAGAAAUAUUGGUUGGGGUUCUCUUAGAA